AUGGAGUUCCUCAAGAUGCUAUCAAGUGCAUGCUGUUCUCAUUCUCUCUCCGGGAUGAUGCUCAUGCUUGGUAUUGAUCCUUGCCAUCAGGAUCAUUCAGUUGGAACGAGAUAUCACAAGCUUUCUUGGAUAAAUAUUUCCCACUACACAAGCAGUCCGCAAUUCGAGAUGAGAUCCUCAGCUUCGUUCGGCGUGAAGGCAAGAGCUUGUAUGAUGCUCGGGAGAGAGCUACAAUUAGUUGUUUUUGAUAUUGAGGAGUCACCUUUAGUUGAUAUUGAUCAUGUGCUGCUAGAGCUAGAUAUGGAGAAGUUCACCUUCGAUGAUGUUAGCCGCAUUGCUUCCUCAACACUUGAGCCUGAGAUGGAGAGCUUCAUGGUUGAGUAUGGUGAGGUGGAUUCAGAUGUCAAGGAGCCAAGCUCUACUAUUUCACUUGUUGACAUGAGUCCGGUUGAAAUUUCUACUACCACACCUCACUUGGUAUCUUCAAUUGAGGUAGUCCUGAAGCUUCUUCCUAACUAUCUCAGGUAUGAUCUUAGCUUUCUGGACAAGACAUGUCAUAUCGCUGAUAUUGCCUAUGCCCCAUGUGACUUGUUGUUGAUACAUGUUCCUGAUUUGAUCAAUAGAUAUACUUAUAUGAUAGGGUACUCUAUCGAUGACUUAGAGGGCAUUCUCUCUGUCACUUGUAUUGGCUUGGUUGUUGAGUGUGCUUUCAGGUUUUUGCUUGUGCAUGAUCCAUUACAUGCUGACCAGGUUCGAGGUGACAUUCCUUGGGACCCUGGUGGACUUAGAGCAUGGGGAUGA
This 801-nucleotide ribosomal RNA is filed under the name Triticum aestivum (bread wheat). RNAcentral describes it as "partial small subunit ribosomal RNA". Lineage: Eukaryota; Viridiplantae; Streptophyta; Magnoliopsida; Poales; Poaceae. The record is from RNAcentral.